GACGAACGCUGGCGGCGUGCCUAAUACAUGCGAGUAGAACGCUGAAGAGAGGAGCUUGCUCUUCUUGGAUGAGUUGCGAACGGGUGAGUAACGCGUAGGUAACCUGCCUGGUAGCGGGGGAUAACUAUUGGAAACGAUGGCUAAUACCGCAUAAAAUGGAUUAUCGCAUGAUAAUCCAUUGAAAGGUGCAAAUGCAUCACUACCAGAUGGACCUGCGUUGUAUUAGCUAGUUGGUGGGGUAACGGCUCACCAAGGCGACGAUACAUAGCCGACCUGAGAGGGUGAUAGGCCACACUGGGACUGAGACACGGCCCAGACUCCUACGGGAGGCAGCAGUAGGGAAUCUUCGGCAAUGGACGGAAGUCUGACCGAGCAACGCCGCGGGAGUGAAGAAGGGUUUCGGAUCGUAAAGCUCUGUUGUAAGAGAAGAACGAGGGUGGGAGUGGAAAGUUCACACUGUGACGGUAUCUUACCAGAAAGGGACGGCUAACUACGUG
This 497-nucleotide ribosomal RNA is filed under the name uncultured bacterium. RNAcentral's name for it is "partial 16S ribosomal RNA". It matches the Rfam family "Bacterial small subunit ribosomal RNA", at positions 28 to 507 of the family's 1533-position model. The record is from RNAcentral.